GUUACCACGAGAACCAAAGGAAAACAGAGGUAUAAAUCACCUCUGUUAUGGUAAGGAUGCAGUUUGACAGAUAGGACUGGUAGUGGAAUUAUUAAGAGGGAGUUGCAGUUGGAAAGCAGAGGUAUAAAUCACCUCUGUUAUAUGCCAGUUUUGAUGAGAUGGCAAUCACAGUAGUGAGCUGUCCCAGAAUCAGUGCAACGUUUGUCCAUUUAUCAGUUUUAAGCCUUGAAGCAGAAUAACCUUUGGAGUCCCUUUAUUAGUCUUGUUGACAUUACUAUUUAGCAUCUGUGUCUGAUUUAUGUGCCAAGGGGCUAAUGAAGCAGGUUCGGUUGCAUUGGCUGAGGUAGCAGGAGGCAAAGGCUGCUGGUUUUGAAUGAAGUUGGUGCAAAAUACACACAAGAAAG
RNAcentral lists this long non-coding RNA (404 nucleotides) under Phaseolus vulgaris (common bean). RNAcentral's name for it is "long non-coding RNA (PVUL_LNC004523)". The record is from RNAcentral. Lineage: Eukaryota; Viridiplantae; Streptophyta; Magnoliopsida; Fabales; Fabaceae.